GUCUGGUUAGCUCAGUUGGUAAAGCGCUCCACUGGAAAUGCAAAGGUCCCUGGUUCGAUGUCAGGACCAGGCG
Molecule: transfer RNA, 73 nt
Filed under: Ixodes scapularis (black-legged tick)
Lineage: Eukaryota; Metazoa; Arthropoda; Arachnida; Ixodida; Ixodidae
Rfam family: tRNA
About the family: Transfer RNA (tRNA) molecules are approximately 80 nucleotides in length. Their secondary structure includes four short double-helical elements and three loops (D, anti-codon, and T loops). Further hydrogen bonds mediate the characteristic L-shaped molecular structure. tRNAs have two regions of fundamental functional importance: the anti-codon, which is responsible for specific mRNA codon recognition, and the 3' end, to which the tRNAs corresponding amino acid is attached (by aminoacyl-tRNA synthetases). tRNAs cope with the degeneracy of the genetic code in two manners: having more than one tRNA (with a specific anti-codon) for a particular amino acid; and 'wobble' base-pairing, i.e. permitting non-standard base-pairing at the 3rd anti-codon position.
Source: Rfam by way of RNAcentral